GUAGGGUGCGAGCGUUAAUCGGAAUUACUGGGCGUAAAGCGUGCGCAGGCGGCUUUGCAAGACAGAUGUGAAAUCCCCGGGCUCAACCUGGGAACUGCAUUUGUGACUGCAAGGCUAGAGUACGGCAGAGGGGGGUGGAAUUCCGCGUGUAGCAGUGAAAUGCGUAGAUAUGCGGAGGAACACCGAUGGCGAAGGCAAUCCCCUGGGCCUGUACUGACGCUCAUGCACGAAAGCGUGGGGAGCAAACAGGAUUAGAUACCCUGGUAGUCCACGCCCCUAAACGAUGUCAACUGGUUGUUGGACGGCUUGCUGUUCAGUAACGAAGCUAACGCGUGAAGUUGACCGCCUGGGAGUACGGCCGCAAGGUUG
This 369-nucleotide ribosomal RNA is filed under the name uncultured organism. Its description in RNAcentral is "partial 16S ribosomal RNA". It matches the Rfam family "Bacterial small subunit ribosomal RNA", at positions 527 to 896 of the family's 1533-position model. The record is from RNAcentral.